GAUCACAAAAGAAAGGCAUGUUGAUUUCUCAUUCUCUGGUGAAGUGUUUUUGAUGGUGGGAUAUUUUUUUUUAAAAGAUAAUAUGUCAUUUAUUAAGCUUCGCAUAGAAAAAUGACUAUUUUUUUUUUUCAUGUUUAUUUGGAAAAGGCUGUUUUCUUUCUCAAGAGGUUUUUACCAAACUAAAAUCAGAAUCCAGCCACGGAGGAAAACAAAAGCAUUUGACAUUCAUCACUACUUGUUGAGUACCCACAGGACCCAGGGCAUGGCUGGCACUGCUGCAGCUAAAGAACACGGCAAAGCUGCUACCCAGCCGUCAAAAUGAAGAGAACGGGGUUUAUUCAUCAGCUGACUUCAAGAAAAACAGUACAGUGAUGUCCUGUUCAACUGGAAUUACUGCCCUACGAAAGACUGAGACUGAAACCAAAGGAGAGGGUAGCAACAGGAAAACGAAGACAAAGAAAUUCUGAAUGGCCAUUCCAGAUUAAAGAGCUAUGACAACAAAAUGUAAUGCAUCAUCCUGGACUGGAUUCUUGUCAAGACAGAAGUAUUGCUAGAAACAAUAUUGGGACGAUUAGUGAAAUGUCUUUUAGUAACAGUACUGUAUCAGUGUUAAAUUUUCUGAAUUUCAUAGUUAUAUAUAGUUAUGUAAAAGAUUUCCCUAGUUUCUAAGAAAGAGAAACAUUUUAUGGUUAAAGUUCAUGAUAUUUGCAACUUAUUCUCAAAAGGUUGAGAAAAAAUUAUAUAUGAAAUCCAUGUGUGUUUGUAUGUAUCAAUUCACGGAAUUUGAUUUAACUACCUAAUGGCAUCACCAUCGACAUCUCAGGCUCCUUCCAUUUCUUUGCAUUGCCCCUGCUGGACUGGCUUCGCCUUUGUGCCUUUUUUUUUUUUUUAAGAUUUUAUUUAUGUAUUUGGCAGAUAGAUCACAAGUAGGCAGAGAGGCAGGCAGAGAGAGAGAGGAGGAAACAGACUCCCCGCUGAGCAGAGAGCCUGAUCCGGGGCUUGAUCCAAGGACGCUGGGAUCAGGACCUGAGCCAAAGGCAGAGACUUUAACCCACUGAGCCACCCAGGUGCCCCCACCUUCAUGCUUUUAUUGCAACUAUUCCAGGUGGUGUAUCCAGAUAAGACAAUGUGCCUAAAAGGAAGAAAUAGCAUCUAGUCCCAUAGUGAGUCUCUCCUUUCUCAUGGGAGAGAUGUAACUUUCUCGGCAGUUACUUACAGAUGUCCUCCCAUAUUUCACUAGACAGAAUUGGCUUGUGUAUGGGUCUUGGAUCAUCAUCCAAAGGCAGACGGAAUUAACUAGUUGGUUGGACUAACUGGUCUAGCCUACUCAUCUGCGGUUAAACAGAUUUCAGGAAGUCGACCAUAAUAUAUUUGUAGUCAGGGUUCUCUAGAGAAACAGAAAAAUGUAUAUAGAGAGAUAUGUAAGAGGAGAUGUAUUAUAGGAAUUGGCGCAUAUAGUGAUGGAGGUCAAAAAGUCUCAGUCAGCCGUCUAGAGGCUGGAGACCCAGUAACGCCAAUGGUAUAAUUCAGUCUAAGUCCAAAGGCCUGUGAACCAGGAGCUCCCCUGUCCAAGAGCAGGGGAUUUGCCCUUCCUCGGCCUUUUUGUGGAUUGGAUGCCUGUACAUAUGGGUGAAGGUAAUCUUUUUACUCAGUCUACUGUAGAAUCUCUUCCAGAAAAAAACCUCACAGACACAACCAGGAAUGGUGCCAGCUAUCUGGGUAUCCCCUGGCCCAGUCAAGCUGACACGUAAUACUAACCAUCACAGUAUUCUUUACCUCUAAGGGGAAUCUACUUUGGAAAGUAAUUUUUUUUCAGAUACCACAGGAGGGUUCAUAAAUAUUAAAGCCUCACAUGUAUUUCUCCUCCUUCUAAAUCAACAUUGGUUACUUCUACCUUCACCAAUGAAAUAGCUCCUUUGUUGACUGCUCUAAGAAAUAGUCUGAAAGGAAAUACCACACAGCCCUAAAAGGGGGAGUGGAUGUCUCUAGAGUUUUUUACUUUAAGUAUACGUUCAUUCAUUCAUUCACAUAUACAUAUGUGUGUGUGUAUGUGUAUAUAUAUAUAUAUAUAUAUAUAUAUAUGUGUGUGUGUGUGUGUGUGUGUGUAUGUAUAAAUAUAUAUAUAUUCAACAAGUAUUUAUUAAGCACCUACUAUAUUCCAGGAUCAGGAAUAAUAAUGAAAAGCUGUAGUCUCUGCUUAUAAAGAAUGUACACUGUGGUGGAAAAACAGACAUCCUAUCAAGUAUAAUAAAUGUCACUAAUGGUAAGAAUCAGAAGGAAAGACUAUUAAAGACAUCAUAAAGGAAAAUUACAACUAUCUCAGAUACUUGGGAUUCUCAUGACAUUAAU
Molecule: long non-coding RNA, 2349 nt
Organism: Mustela lutreola (European mink)
Lineage: Eukaryota; Metazoa; Chordata; Mammalia; Carnivora; Mustelidae
Exons: 3
Source: RefSeq, a predicted model, not a curated record